RNAcentral lists this transfer RNA (77 nucleotides) under Alphaproteobacteria bacterium MarineAlpha9_Bin2. Its description in RNAcentral is "tRNA-Arg". It matches the Rfam family "tRNA". From Rfam's summary of the family: Transfer RNA (tRNA) molecules are approximately 80 nucleotides in length. Their secondary structure includes four short double-helical elements and three loops (D, anti-codon, and T loops). Further hydrogen bonds mediate the characteristic L-shaped molecular structure. tRNAs have two regions of fundamental functional importance: the anti-codon, which is responsible for specific mRNA codon recognition, and the 3' end, to which the tRNAs corresponding amino acid is attached (by aminoacyl-tRNA synthetases). tRNAs cope with the degeneracy of the genetic code in two manners: having more than one tRNA (with a specific anti-codon) for a particular amino acid; and 'wobble' base-pairing, i.e. permitting non-standard base-pairing at the 3rd anti-codon position. The record is from RNAcentral. Lineage: Bacteria; Pseudomonadati; Pseudomonadota; Alphaproteobacteria.
GCGCCCGUAGCUCAACUGGAUAGAGUGUCUGACUACGGAUCAGAAUGUUGGGGGUUCGAAUCCUCUCGGGCGCGCCA